AAUCCGUCGAUUUCAA
This 16-nucleotide transfer RNA is filed under the name Dittrichia viscosa. RNAcentral describes it as "partial tRNA-Leu". Lineage: Eukaryota; Viridiplantae; Streptophyta; Magnoliopsida; Asterales; Asteraceae. The record is from RNAcentral.